This 950-nucleotide ribosomal RNA is filed under the name Lacticaseibacillus paracasei. Its description in RNAcentral is "bacterial SSU rRNA". It matches the Rfam family "Bacterial small subunit ribosomal RNA", at positions 526 to 1478 of the family's 1533-position model. The record is from RNAcentral. Lineage: Bacteria; Bacillati; Bacillota; Bacilli; Lactobacillales; Lactobacillaceae.
CGUAGGUGGCAAGCGUUAUCCGGAUUUAUUGGGCGUAAAGCGAGCGCAGGCGGUUUUUUAAGUCUGAUGUGAAAGCCCUCGGCUUAACCGAGGAAGCGCAUCGGAAACUGGGAAACUUGAGUGCAGAAGAGGACAGUGGAACUCCAUGUGUAGCGGUGAAAUGCGUAGAUAUAUGGAAGAACACCAGUGGCGAAGGCGGCUGUCUGGUCUGUAACUGACGCUGAGGCUCGAAAGCAUGGGUAGCGAACAGGAUUAGAUACCCUGGUAGUCCAUGCCGUAAACGAUGAAUGCUAGGUGUUGGAGGGUUUCCGCCCUUCAGUGCCGCAGCUAACGCAUUAAGCAUUCCGCCUGGGGAGUACGACCGCAAGGUUGAAACUCAAAGGAAUUGACGGGGGCCCGCACAAGCGGUGGAGCAUGUGGUUUAAUUCGAAGCAACGCGAAGAACCUUACCAGGUCUUGACAUCUUUUGAUCACCUGAGAGAUCAGGUUUCCCCUUCGGGGGCAAAAUGACAGGUGGUGCAUGGUUGUCGUCAGCUCGUGUCGUGAGAUGUUGGGUUAAGUCCCGCAACGAGCGCAACCCUUAUGACUAGUUGCCAGCAUUUAGUUGGGCACUCUAGUAAGACUGCCGGUGACAAACCGGAGGAAGGUGGGGAUGACGUCAAAUCAUCAUGCCCCUUAUGACCUGGGCUACACACGUGCUACAAUGGAUGGUACAACGAGUUGCGAGACCGCGAGGUCAAGCUAAUCUCUUAAAGCCAUUCUCAGUUCGGACUGUAGGCUGCAACUCGCCUACACGAAGUCGGAAUCGCUAGUAAUCGCGGAUCAGCACGCCGCGGUGAAUACGUUCCCGGGCCUUGUACACACCGCCCGUCACACCAUGAGAGUUUGUAACACCCGAAGCCGGUGGCGUAACCCUUUAGGGAGCGAGCCGUCUAAGGGACAAAGAUGGG